AUGGAGAAAGAUUUUAAUAGUUUUGCUAAAUCUUCCUGGAACAAUGUUAGAUCUACCUCUUUUGUUGCAAAAACCACUUCUUUGGCAGGAUCUUUGAAAAAAUGGUGUAGGAAGAAGAAACCCUUUCAACUAGAACUGCAGGAGUUGGAGUCCCGUAUUAAUCAAAUUCAAAUGCUUCCUUGGAAACAACAAGAUCAUAAUCUGGAGCAACAACUAACCCUCAGGUAUGAGCAUGUUCUCAAUCAACUUAAUAGCUUUUAUAAGCAAAGAAGCAAGAAGGGUUGGGCUACUGGUGGUGAUCGUAAUACUAAAUUUUUUCAUCAAGCUGUUCUCAAGAGGAGGAAGAGGAAUACCAUUUGCUCUAUUAAAGAUGAAAAUGAUGUUUUGCAUUUCAGACCUGAUCUCAUUGCUAACACUUUUGUUAACUAUUUCAGAUAUAUCUUUUCGUCUCCUAAUGUUAAUUCUGGAAGACCUUUUCUUGCUUCACAGUUUCCUGACGGCUCUUUGGAUCCCACUUAUCUAAUUCCAGAUAAAAGUGAAGUAUUGCAGAUCUUGAAGGAUAUGAAGUUGAAUGCUUCGCCAGGGCCGGAUGGCUUCAAUGUUGAGUUUUAUCUAGCUGUAUGGGAUUGGAUAGGAGAUGAGGUCACCCAGUUGGUGGUUAAUUUUUAUAAAUCAGGUAUAUUGCCACCUCAUAUUAGUGACACUAACAUUGCUCUCAUUCCAAAAAAACUGGUUCCCCAGGUUCCUAUGGAUUAUCGUCCCAUUAGCCUUUGUAAUGUCAUAUACAAAAUCAUUGCCAAAUCCUUAGCUAAUCGCCUCAAGCCUCUUCUCCCUGAUUUUAUUGACCAUGCUCAACAGGCUUUUAUUGAGGGUAGAAGGAUUAGUGAUAAUAUUAUUAUUGCUCAGGAAAUCACCCAUUCUUUUGCUCUUAAAUCCUGGAAUCAACUUGCUUUCAUGCUUAAAAUUGAUCUUGCGAAAGCUUUUGAUCGUUUAGAAUGGAGCUUCAUAGUUUCAGCUCUUGCUCGUAAAGGUCUGCAUGGUCAUUUCAUAAAUUUGAUCUAUGAAUGCAUUUCCACACCCACUUUCUCUGUGGUUAUUAAUGGUAAACAUUCUCAUAAAUUUAAAAGCGCUAGGGGUAUUCGCCAAGGUUGUCCUAUGUCCCCUUAUUUGUUUGUUUUGGCCAUUAAUGAAUUGUCUCUUGCUCUUAAUGAUGCUCUGGCUGAUAAUCAUUUGCAGGGUAUUUCUCUUGGACCAGGUUGCCCUCCUAUUCAUUCUCUCUUGUUUGCAGAUGAUUUAUUAGUUUGUGGGCAAGCUUCGGUUCAAGAGGCAAAUGCUAUGGCCCAAAUUAUCCAUCAUUUCUGUUCUAUUUCUGUGCAAACUCCUAACUGGGCGAAAUCUGCCAUUAUCUUCAGCUCUCGUGUUAGUCAGGCUGUAGCUCAUGAUAUUAAGCAGAUUUUCCCUGUUUCUAACAUGGAGGCUCAUUUUUCUCAUCUGGGUCACCCUCUUAUUCUUCCUGCUAAGAAUAGAUCUGCUGCCUAUAAUUUUGUUUUAGAUAAAUUUCUGAAUAAGCUACCGGCUUACAAGGCUAACAUGCUUUCUCAUGCAGCUAGGCUUGAGUUGAUCAAAUCUGUUUUCUCUGCUAUUCCUGUUUACUAUAUGGCUAACAUUUUGUUCUCCAAAAAACUUUUAGCCAAACUCACUACUAUUAUUAGGAACUUUUGGUGGACAGGUAUUAGGGAAAAUAAUUCCACCAGGGGUUUGUGUCUUCGCGCUUGGAAGGAUAUUUGCAAUUCAAAGCAGGAAGGUGGGCUUGGUAUUAGGAAUUUGCAAGCGGUUAAUGAAGGGUUGAUUCUUGCAGCUGCUUGGCGUCUGGCUAAAGAUCCUUCCUCUCAUCUUCAUUUGGUCCUUAAAUCUAAAUAUUUCUUUGAUACUUCGAUUUGGCUGGCUAGCUCGUCCACUCCAAAAUCUGCUUUUUGGUCUGCCAUUCUUAAAAUGCUUCCAAAACUCAAAGCUCAUUCUUUCUAUCAGCUCACUCAAGGUAAUGUUUCUAUAUGGAGCACUCCCUGGUGCUCUCUUUGGACUACUGUUUAUGAUCACCUUAUUGUUCAGCCUUUAGGUUAUGUUUACCCUUCUCUUGUUAAAGAUCUUUGGGUUCCUGGAACCAAAAUUUGGGAUAAUAAUUUGAUUUUUUCUCUUUUCCGACAGCCUCUUGCUAAUGCUAUUAUUCAAACUGAUAUUAUUCAAGAGAACUGUCCGGAUAUACUUUGUUGGGAUAUAACACCUAAUGGCAAUUGUACUUCCAAAUCCACUUAUAAAUUGUGCUUGCAGGACAUUCAUGCUAAUCCUAGAUCUGCUCCUUCUCAAGUUCCUUUGCAGAUUAAAAAUCUUCUAAAGCUGAUUUGGAAGCAAAAGACAAUAAUUCCUAGAGUCAAGACUUUUGCUUGGAGGCUUCUUAGGGAGGCCCUUCCCACAGGUUUGAGAGCUGGCCGCUUUUCUCUACAUAUCUCUCAAUUUUGUUGCAGAUGUGGACAGCAAGAAGAUGAGAUGCAUUUGUUUUUUCUUUGCGACUUCGCUAGAGCUGCUUGGUUCUCUUCUCCUUGGUGCAUUAGAACGGAUGCACUAAUUCAAGCCAAUCCUACUAUUCACAGCGUUUUACAUGCUUUAAUUAACAUGAUUCAUUCCCAUGCAUCUGUGCCUAACAUUCUCAAUUUUUUGUGGUGCCUAUGGAAAGCUCGGAAUGACCAUCUUUUCAACAGGAAGAGAGCUCUUCCCUAUCAAAUUCAUAUUGCUGCUAAAGCUCUCGAUGUUGAAUUGAAUGAUAAUAUGCAUGUUUCUCUCCAAAAUAACGUUGUUUGUGUUGUGCCUACUGUUAACCAGCUACCUAUGCAGGGAAAAACAAUUAAGUCUGAUCUUCUGCUAACAGGACCAAGAGUUUACUCUGAUGCAGCUUUCAGGUGUAAAAAAAUCCCUGGUUUAACUCAAGGAAUGGUGGCUACUGGCAUCGGAGUCUACCUUUGUUUGCCACAAGAUCCGACAGAAAUCAAUGUUCAGGUUCAAGCGUCUUCUGCGGAUACAGAUUCUCCUUUGAAAGCGGAAGCUUUGGCUCUUCUCUUGGCGGCUCAAGUGGCUAAUCGCCUUAACAUUUCUCAACCUACUUUCCUCACCGACUGCCUCUCUUUGGCAUCGUUUGCUGCUUCUUCUAAGGCUUCUGAUGUUGCCAUCCCCUGGGCUAUCAGGAAAAUACUAGCUGAAUUUUUCUUCUUCUCCUCUGAUCUUCAUGCUCAGGUGUUUCACAUUUCUAGGGAGAUCAAUGGGAUUGCCCACAAUAUGGCUCAACAGGUUCUUAGGCCUUAUCUAGGACCUGACAUAUGCUGUUUUGCCUCAGCUCAUCGAAAUGGAUCUUGCCCUGUAGUUUCUCUUCUUUCCAAUUUUUAG
Molecule: ribosomal RNA, 3435 nt
Filed under: Triticum aestivum (bread wheat)
Lineage: Eukaryota; Viridiplantae; Streptophyta; Magnoliopsida; Poales; Poaceae
Description: partial small subunit ribosomal RNA
Source: RNAcentral